UGACCAGACUCCUACGGGAGGCAGCAGUGGGGGAUAUUGCACAAUGGGGGAAACCCUGAUGCAGCGACGCCGCGUGAGUGAAGAAGUAAUUCGUUCCGUAAAGCUCUAUCAGCAGGGAAGAAAAUGACGGUACCUGACUAAGAAGCCCCGGCUAACUACGUGCCAGCAGCCGCGGUAAUACGUAGGGGGCAAGCGUUAUCCGGAAUUACUGGGUGUAAAGGGUGAGUAGGCGGCAUGGUAAGCCAGAUGUGAAAGCCUUGGGCUUAACCCGAGGAUUGCAUUUGGAACUAUCAAGCUAGAGUACAGGAGAGGAAAGCGGAAUUCCUAGUGUAGCGGUGAAAUGCGUAGAUAUUAGGAGGAACACCAGUGGCGAAGGCGGUCUGCUGGACAGCAACUGACGCUGAGGCGCGAAAGCGUGGGGAGCAAACAGGAUUAGAUACCCCCGUA
This 447-nucleotide ribosomal RNA is filed under the name uncultured bacterium. Its description in RNAcentral is "partial 16S ribosomal RNA". It matches the Rfam family "Bacterial small subunit ribosomal RNA", at positions 328 to 792 of the family's 1533-position model. The record is from RNAcentral.